RNAcentral lists this transfer RNA (71 nucleotides) under Echinotriton andersoni (Ryukyu spiny newt). Its description in RNAcentral is "transfer RNA-Val". It matches the Rfam family "tRNA". From Rfam's summary of the family: Transfer RNA (tRNA) molecules are approximately 80 nucleotides in length. Their secondary structure includes four short double-helical elements and three loops (D, anti-codon, and T loops). Lineage: Eukaryota; Metazoa; Chordata; Amphibia; Caudata; Salamandridae. The record is from RNAcentral.
UCAGCACAUAGUUUAAUACAAAGCACCUUGCUUACACCAAGAAUACACCCGUUAAAUCCGAGUUGAGCUGA